RNAcentral lists this ribosomal RNA (340 nucleotides) under Enterobacter sp. SMg1Ba. Its description in RNAcentral is "bacterial SSU rRNA". It matches the Rfam family "Bacterial small subunit ribosomal RNA", at positions 458 to 795 of the family's 1533-position model. The record is from RNAcentral. Lineage: Bacteria; Pseudomonadati; Pseudomonadota; Gammaproteobacteria; Enterobacterales; Enterobacteriaceae.
AACCACAGCAAUUGACGUUACCCGCAGAAGAAGCACCGGCUAACUCCGUGCCAGCAGCCGCGGUAAUACGGAGGGUGCAAGCGUUAAUCGGAAUUACUGGGCGUAAAGCGCACGCAGGCGGUCUGUCAAGUCGGAUGUGAAAUCCCCGGGCUCAACCUGGGAACUGCAUUCGAAACUGGCAGGCUGGAGUCUUGUAGAGGGGGGUAGAAUUCCAGGUGUAGCGGUGAAAUGCGUAAAGAUCUGGAGGAAUACCGGUGGCGAAGGCGGCCCCCUGGACAAAGACUGACACUCAGGUGCGAAAGCGUGGGGAGCAAACAGGAUUAGAUACCCCGGUAGAGAU